GGAUCCAGACUUUGAUCAUGGCUCAGGACGAACGCUGGCGGCGUGCCUAACACAUGCAAGUCGAACGAAGCACUGCGGAAAGAGACUUCGGUCAAUGGAAGCUUUGACUUAGUGGCGGACGGGUGAGUAACGCGUGAGGAACCUGCCUUUCAGUGGGGGACAACAGUUGGAAACGACUGCUAAUACCGCAUAAUGUGUUUUGGGGGCAUCCCCGGAACACCAAAGAUUUAUUGCUGAAAGAUGGCCUCGCGUCUGAUUAGAUAGUUGGUGGGGUAACGGCCUACCAAGUCGACGAUCAGUAGCCGGACUGAGAGGUUGAACGGCCACAUUGGGACUGAGAUACGGCCCAGACUCCUACGGGAGGCAGCAGUGGGGAAUAUUGGGCAAUGGGGGAAACCCUGACCCAGCAACGCCGCGUGAAGGAAGAAGGCUUUCGGGUUGUAAACUUCUUUUACCAGGGACGAAGGACGUGACGGUACCUGGAGAAAAAGCCACGGCUAACUACGUGCCAGCAGCCGCGGUAAUACGUAGGUGGCAAGCGUUGUCCGGAUUUACCGGGUGUAAAGGGCGUGUAGGCGGGAGAGCA
RNAcentral lists this ribosomal RNA (586 nucleotides) under uncultured Bacillota bacterium. RNAcentral describes it as "bacterial SSU rRNA". It matches the Rfam family "Bacterial small subunit ribosomal RNA", at positions 1 to 585 of the family's 1533-position model. Lineage: Bacteria; Bacillati; Bacillota. The record is from RNAcentral.